UCCUCGAUAGCUCAGUUGGUAGAGCGCCGGACUGUUAAUCCGUAGGUCCCAGGUUCGAGCCCUGGUCGGGGAGCCA
This 76-nucleotide transfer RNA is filed under the name Azonexus sp. RNAcentral's name for it is "tRNA-Asn". It matches the Rfam family "tRNA". From Rfam's summary of the family: Transfer RNA (tRNA) molecules are approximately 80 nucleotides in length. Their secondary structure includes four short double-helical elements and three loops (D, anti-codon, and T loops). Further hydrogen bonds mediate the characteristic L-shaped molecular structure. tRNAs have two regions of fundamental functional importance: the anti-codon, which is responsible for specific mRNA codon recognition, and the 3' end, to which the tRNAs corresponding amino acid is attached (by aminoacyl-tRNA synthetases). tRNAs cope with the degeneracy of the genetic code in two manners: having more than one tRNA (with a specific anti-codon) for a particular amino acid; and 'wobble' base-pairing, i.e. permitting non-standard base-pairing at the 3rd anti-codon position. RNAcentral also lists the same sequence under 2 other names. The record is from RNAcentral. Lineage: Bacteria; Pseudomonadati; Pseudomonadota; Betaproteobacteria; Rhodocyclales; Azonexaceae.